GAUGAAGAACGUAGCGAAAUGCGAUACGUAAUGUGAAUUGCAGAAUUCAGUGAAUCAUCGAGUCUUUGAACGCACAUUGCGCCCCCUGGUAUUCCGGGGGGCAUGCCUGUCCGAGCGUCAUUGCUGCCCUCAAGCACGGCUUGUGUGUUGGGCCCCGUCCCCUCCCCCGGGGACGGGCCCGAAAGGCAGCGGCGGCACCGCGUCCGAUCCUCGAGCGUAUGGGGCUUUGUCACCCGCUCUGUAGGCCCGGCCGGCGCCAGCCGACACCCAACUUUUAUUUCUAAGGUUGACCUCGGAUCAGGUAGGGAUACCCGCUGAACUUAAGCAUAGCAAUAACGGAGGA
This 343-nucleotide unclassified non-coding RNA is filed under the name soil metagenome. RNAcentral describes it as "partial contains 5.8S ribosomal RNA, internal transcribed spacer 2, and large subunit ribosomal RNA". The stretch from base 1 to 120 matches the Rfam family "5.8S ribosomal RNA", at positions 35 to 154 of the family's 154-position model. The record is from RNAcentral.